Odocoileus virginianus texanus is the source of this 2041-nucleotide non-coding RNA. Lineage: Eukaryota; Metazoa; Chordata; Mammalia; Artiodactyla; Cervidae. The record is from RefSeq and is a predicted model, not a curated record.
GACUGCUAAAAAAAAAGGAGAGAAAGAGAGGUGAGCAAAGAAGGCCCUGUAUAAGCACUCGGAGAAAUGUACAUCCUUGUCUUACAUACAUAUGGAUGAUGAUAUCAUCCAUAUCAUCAGCAUCCUUCACUGCUGAUAUGUGAAUACUCAGUGAGUAGACUGGUGAAGGGCUCCUAUUAUGAAGUAUCAAAAAGUAAGACUAGAAUGGAAUGAGCACCUUGGGAUGAAAAAAUAAGAUUAAACCAAAGAAAAUAUUAACAGUCUCAGUCUAGGUAUUUUAGAUGUUAAAUAAGAAAUAAAAGCAAGUGCUUUAUGAAUUUCAAAACAGGUCAGAUUCCAAAGGCUGAAAGUAAUCAGGGCUGGCUUAGUGGAAGGGAUAAAUUGGAGAUGAACAUUCAAGAGUUAUAGGAUUUGAGAGAAGAGGAUAAUUUAGAUAAGGUAAGGAAAUCCUAGGACCUGGAAAGUCAGGCUGAAAAGGCAUGAUGGCUCAAGAUGAUGCAGGGUACGGAAAUCCAAAGUUAAACAAACCAAGUAGCUUUGAGGAGAGUGAAGAAAGAAGACUAACUAGAAGCUUGAGUAGAGGGUACCUGGGAAAUAGGCUGAAAAGGCAUGAUGGCUCAAUGGUGCAGAGUCCCAGGAAGGCUGACUGUACUCUGACAGAGACCACUGCAGGUGCUUAAGCAGAAUAACCUGGUUAACGUUUUAGACUCAUAUGGCAAUGACAUACAGGAUGGACUGAGCCAAGAGAAUAAAAGGGAAGGCCAAGAGCUAUUUUUCUAAUAAGAAUAAUAUGGAAUUUUAUAGACUAAAGAAUACGAUACAAUAUUUAUAUACAGUGAGCUAUUAUUGCAUAGACACUACGCUAGCUUUUCUCAUUUGAUUCUCCCAGAACCAUAUGAAGGAAGUCAAAUUAAUCAUCUCCAUUUUUAAAAUGAGAAAACAGAAUCUACAUAACCUGCCCAGGUCACAAAUCCAGGGAGUGGAGGAGUCAGAAUUUGAGCCCAGAUAACAUGACCCCACAGCUUAUAGUCUUAGCUUCUAUGCCAUAUCCCUCAGUAUUAUUAAAUGUCUCUGAAAGAAUCCAAGAACAAAAUAAUUAGGGCUGAACUAGUGAUUAGUAGUGAAAAGAAAAUGUAAAGAAGAGAUGAGACUUUACAAGGAAACAAAAUGACAGAACUUAGUAUUUAAGAGAUAGAUGGGGAUGAGAAAGAGUGAAAAAUGAUCAUCCCUUCAUGGGUGAAAACACAAGGAAAUAAUAAUACCAUUCACCCUUGGAAAUCACACAGGUGAAUUCAGACGGGAAAGAUGAGUAGUAUUUCAGAUAUGUUGCAUUUGGAAAGAUGAAAAGAUAUCCAUGUAGAAAUUAGAGUAUGCAGAUAAGAUACAUUUUAAAAACUCAGGAGAGAGGUAGGAUUGACAUUAUAGGUUUUUGAAAUUAUCUCACAUAAAAUGAAUAGAGGAAGCAACAAAAUUAUUUAAGCUCUUUAAGGGGGUGGGGUGGAAGAACCACUCUCUGGGGACCAGCAACGUUGAAAGGCAGGAGAGCGGCAAGAGCAGAAACAGGAUAGGGCAGUCUCCCAGAGUUCAACAGAUGAGACUUUCAAGAAGAGAGCAGCUGCCUUCUAAUUCACUCUCUCUUCUCUCCUGGAAGAUCUCAUUCUCACUUAUUCCUUACACUAUUAUCCACACACAUGCAAGUAAGAAGUAAGAGAGGGCUACAGUUGAAGGAGUUUGAAUAUGUCAACAAAGGGCUGAGGUAAGCAAAGAUAUCACAAAGGAGUGAUUGACUUAAGCAUGAGUAUGUAACUAGUUGAAAGCAAUAUUUGAAUGUACAAAGACACAGAUGGGUUAAUUAAACCAGUUAGGCAGAAUCAGGGAAAGCAUCUGGAAAAGGGCUGUGUUACCACCAAAAGGCCUCACCCUCAAGAAUUCCCAAAGCCCUAGAACGUUUUUUCCAGCUAUCUCGCUGUUCGGUAACCUGGAGAGUUAACCGAGCCUCAGAAGUCCGCCCCUCCCCUUCGGGUCACCUGCUGGCGACGCC